This 465-nucleotide ribosomal RNA is filed under the name Vreelandella stevensii. RNAcentral's name for it is "partial 16S ribosomal RNA". It matches the Rfam family "Bacterial small subunit ribosomal RNA", at positions 338 to 795 of the family's 1533-position model. The record is from RNAcentral. Lineage: Bacteria; Pseudomonadati; Pseudomonadota; Gammaproteobacteria; Oceanospirillales; Halomonadaceae.
CCUACGGGCGGCAGCAGUGGGGAAUAUUGGACAAUGGGGGCAACCCUGAUCCAGCCAUGCCGCGUGUGUGAAGAAGGCCCUCGGGUUGUAAAGCACUUUCAGUGAGGAAGAACGCCUGGUGGUUAAUACCCAUCAGGAAAGACAUCACUCACAGAAGAAGCACCGGCUAACUCCGUGCCAGCAGCCGCGGUAAUACGGCGGGUGCGAGCGUUAAUCGGAAUUACUGGGCGUAAAGCGCGCGUAGGUGGCUUGAUAAGCCGGUUGUGAAAGCCCCGGGCUCAACCUGGGAACGGCAUCCGGAACUGUCAAGCUAGAGUGCAGGAGAGGAAGGUAGAAUUCCCGGUGUAGCGGUGAAAUGCGUAGAGAUCGGGAGGAAUACCAGUGGCGAAGGCGGCCUUCUGGACUGACACUGACACUGAGGUGCGAAAGCGUGGGUAGCAAACAGGAUUAGAUACACGUGUAGUC